GAAGAUUCAAAAACGCUUCAAGAAGGAUGCACUUUUAGCAAAAUUAUAGGAAAAAGCUCCCACAUGGACGCUCUUUUGCUAUAGUAGUAUCUGAUAAAAUAAUUUUGAGAAGAUGUUUUUGAACAAAUAGUGUCAAAAACGAAGGAUGCACUUUCAGCAAAAUUACGGGAAAAAGCUCCCACGUGGACGCUCUUUUGCUACAGUAGUAUCUGAUAAAAUAAUUUUGAGAAGAUGUUUCUGAACAAAUAGUGUCAAAAACGCUUAAAGAAUGAUGCACUUUCAGCAAAAU
RNAcentral lists this long non-coding RNA (289 nucleotides) under Gossypium barbadense (sea-island cotton). RNAcentral describes it as "long non-coding RNA (GBAR_LNC001342)". Lineage: Eukaryota; Viridiplantae; Streptophyta; Magnoliopsida; Malvales; Malvaceae. The record is from RNAcentral.